This 584-nucleotide small RNA is filed under the name Pan troglodytes (chimpanzee). RNAcentral's name for it is "processed transcript". The record is from RNAcentral. Lineage: Eukaryota; Metazoa; Chordata; Mammalia; Primates; Hominidae.
AGUGCUUCCGGUCCGCCUGCCGGAAGUUUUGGAGCGCCGGACAAGCUGAGGUCCGCGACUCGUCGCUAAGAUUCCCCAAAACUGAGAUUUCAAGAAAAUUCACCCUUUCCGCUUUCUUUGGCGUCCUUCAACCGUGAAGGAAAUGAAGGUUGAGAACCUGGAACCCGCUUCCAAAGACCAAGCCCUUUCUCUGCUGCCUUUCGAGCUCAGGGGCCCCUGGCUAUGCUGCAGCACUUUGAUACUAUCUACAGCAUUUUGCAUCACUUUCGAAGUAUAGAUCCUGGCCUCAAAGAAGAUACUCUGGAAUUCCUGAUAAAAGUGGUAUCCCGCCACUCCCAGGAGCUUCCAGCUAUCCUGGAUGAUGCAACUUUGAGUGGAUCAGAUAGAAACGCCCAUCUAAAUGCCCUCAAAAUGAACUGUUAUGCUCUGAUACGUCUCCUGGAAUCCUUUGAGACCAUGGCCAGCCAGACAAACCUUGUGGACCUGGACCUUGGUGGGAAGGGUAAGAAAGCUCGGACCAAGGCAGCCCAUGGCUUUGACUGGGAAGAAGAGAGGCAACCAAUUCUUCAGCUUUUAACACAGCU